CCUACGGGAGGCAGCAGUGGGGAAUAUUGGUCAAUGGACGCAAGUCUGACCCAGCAACGCCGCGUGAAGGAAGAAGGCUCUCGGGUUGUAAACCUCUUUUUAGGGGGAAGAGCAGAAGACGGUACCCCUUGAAUAAGCCAUGGCUAACUACGGUCCAGCAGCCGCGUAAUACGCAGGUGGCAAGCUUUGUCCGGAUUUACUGGGUGUAAUCGGCGUUCAUCCGGGAAGACAAGUCCGGUGUGAAAUCCACGGUCUCAACCCGUGAACUGCAGUUGAACCCGUUUCCCUUGAGUGUCGGAGAGGUAAUCGGAAUUCCUUGUGUAGCGGUGAAAUGCGUAGAUAUAAGGAAGAACACCAGGGGCGAAGGCGGAUUACUGGACGAUAACUGACGGUGAGGCGCGAAAGCGUGGGGAGCAAACAGGAUUAGAUACCCCUGUAGUC
RNAcentral lists this ribosomal RNA (441 nucleotides) under uncultured bacterium. Its description in RNAcentral is "partial 16S ribosomal RNA". It matches the Rfam family "Bacterial small subunit ribosomal RNA", at positions 338 to 795 of the family's 1533-position model. The record is from RNAcentral.